UUUUCUUGGGUGUAGCGCACGUAAAGAUUUGAGCUUUAAAGAGAAUUUUCAAGAAAAA
This 58-nucleotide transfer RNA is filed under the name Gyraulus laevis. RNAcentral's name for it is "tRNA-Gln". Lineage: Eukaryota; Metazoa; Mollusca; Gastropoda; Planorbidae. The record is from RNAcentral.